RNAcentral lists this ribosomal RNA (253 nucleotides) under uncultured bacterium. RNAcentral's name for it is "partial 16S ribosomal RNA". It matches the Rfam family "Bacterial small subunit ribosomal RNA", at positions 524 to 776 of the family's 1533-position model. The record is from RNAcentral.
UACAGAGGAUGCAAGCGUUAUCCGGAAUGAUUGGGCGUAAAGCGUCUGUAGGUGGCUUUUUAAGUCCGCCGUCAAAUCCCAGGGCUCAACUCUGGACAGGCGGUGGAAACUACCAAGCUGGAGUACGGUAGGGGCAGAGGGAAUUUCCGGUGGAGCGGUGAAAUGCGUAGAUAUGUGGAAGAACACCAGUGGCGAAGGCGGUUUUCUAGCUUAUUCCUGACGCUGAGGCGCGAAAGCAAGGGGAUCAAACAGG